Python bivittatus (Burmese python) is the source of this 835-nucleotide long non-coding RNA. RefSeq lists it as uncharacterized. NCBI's taxonomy places the organism in Eukaryota, Metazoa, Chordata, Lepidosauria, Squamata, Pythonidae. The record is from RefSeq and is a predicted model, not a curated record.
AAGGAGGCAACCCAAAUUCCAAACAGCGUUCUGGCUUUUGUUGCCAUCUGCCAGGUGCCCAACUACCUAUUUUCUGGAUCACUGUCUUCCACGCUUUUUUCAGUAUUAUCCUGCCAGCUCUGUCAGAUGUUUGCCUGGCCAAAUGGGCCAGUCCAGGACCUCCAGAGGACCAGCUAUUCUGACACCGGGCACAGUCAUAUCAUUCCUGAAACAUCAGCUGGAUGUUUAGAUGAGACUAAACCAUCAUUCGGACAGCCUGCUAAGCAAACAGGGAGAACAACUUUGACUGAAGAUGCUGAAUUGGUGGAGAUGUUCCCUGCUUAGCCGUAAGCCUAGAUACGUGAUAUGUGAAUGGACUGAACCAGAUCAUGGAGGUGCUAGUUCAAGAAAAGACACCCCCCAGCUUGAGAAGAUCCCUUAUGCUUUACCCACUGAGUGUUCAGUCUUGGAGAGACCAUGAUCUAAAGAUCGCAGCCUCAAGGCGCCAAGAGCCCAUCAGCAGCUCUUCGGGAACUGAUCCAGAGGUACAUCAAAGCAGGUCAAGGACAGGCUGUAAACAGAAGAGCGUAAACUUUCUUCCCGGGUAUUGGUUAACAAGUUCAGAUAACAGGCUCACCUCUCCAGGUGCAAAACGAGACACGGGAAAGAUUGCUGCAGAAGAUCUCACCAAUUGCCAGGGACUUGCGUAAGCCACAACAAAGCCCAACAAUCUUACUUAAGUGCGUACACAAGCCAUCCUGCCUGUACUGUACAAGAUGCUGGAACAGGAAAAUCUAGGGUCAAGACCACUCCCGGAAGCCUGGUAGCUACUUUCUGGCUCGCAAAUUUUAUUAAA